AUAUUGGACAAUGGGGGCAACCCUGAUCCAGCCAUGCCGCGUGUUUGAAGAAGGUCUUCGGAUUGUAAAGCAUUUUAAGUUGGGAGGAAGGGCUUUAGGCUAAUAUCCUGAAGUUUUGACGUUCUCAACAGAAUAAUCACCGGCUACCUCUUUCCCAGCAGCCGCAGUAAUAAAGAGGGUGCAAGAGUUAAUCGGAAUUACUGGGCGUAAAGCGGUCGUAGGUGGUUCAGUAAGAUGGGUGUGAAAUCCCCGGGCUUAACCUGGGAACUGCUUUCAUAACUGCUGAGCUAGAGUACGGUAGAGGGUAGUGGAAUUUCCUGUGUAGCGGUGAAAUGCGUAGUUAUAGGAAGGAACACCAGUGGCGAAGGCGACUACCUGGACUGAUACUGACACUGAGGUGCGAAAGCGUGGGGAGCAAACA
This 421-nucleotide ribosomal RNA is filed under the name uncultured bacterium. Its description in RNAcentral is "partial 16S ribosomal RNA". It matches the Rfam family "Bacterial small subunit ribosomal RNA", at positions 361 to 774 of the family's 1533-position model. The record is from RNAcentral.